RNAcentral lists this transfer RNA (87 nucleotides) under Colletotrichum falcatum. RNAcentral describes it as "tRNA-Glu". It matches the Rfam family "tRNA". From Rfam's summary of the family: Transfer RNA (tRNA) molecules are approximately 80 nucleotides in length. Their secondary structure includes four short double-helical elements and three loops (D, anti-codon, and T loops). The record is from RNAcentral. Lineage: Eukaryota; Fungi; Ascomycota; Sordariomycetes; Glomerellales; Glomerellaceae.
UCCGAUAUGGUGUAGUGGCCAACAUGAUGCCCUCUCACCUCGGCGAGAGGUUAGGCAUAGCCCCGAGUUCGAUUCUCGGUUUCGGAA